This 460-nucleotide ribosomal RNA is filed under the name uncultured bacterium. RNAcentral's name for it is "partial 16S ribosomal RNA". It matches the Rfam family "Bacterial small subunit ribosomal RNA", at positions 338 to 795 of the family's 1533-position model. The record is from RNAcentral.
CCUACGGGCGGCAGCAGUGAGGAAUAUUGGUCAAUGGGCUUAAGCCUGAACCAGCCAAGUCGCGUGAGGGAAGACUGCCCUAUGGGUUGUAAACCUCUUUUGUCGGGGAGCAAUGCGCGCUACGUGUAGCGUUAUCGAGAGUACCUGAAGAAAAAGCAUCGGCUAACUCCGUGCCAGCAGCCGCGGUAAUACGGAGGAUGCGAGCGUUAUCCGGAUUUAUUGGGUUUAAAGGGUGCGUAGGCGGAAGGCUAAGUCAGCGGUAAAAUGGCGGGGCUCAACCUCGCCCUGCCGUUGAAACUGGUCUUGUUGAGUGGGCGAGAAGUAUGCGGAAUGCGUGGUGUAGCGGUGAAAUGCAUAGAUAUCACGCAGAACUCCGAUUGCGAAGGCAGCAUACCGGCGCUCAACUGACGCUGAGGCACGAAAGCGUGGGUAUCGAACAGGAUUAGAUACCCGUGUAGUC